Molecule: ribosomal RNA, 449 nt
Filed under: uncultured bacterium
Lineage: Bacteria
Description: partial 16S ribosomal RNA
Rfam family: Bacterial small subunit ribosomal RNA
Source: RNAcentral
AGUGAACGCUGGCGGUAGGCCUAACACAUGCAAGUCGAACGGACCCUUCGGGGUUAGUGGCGGACGGGUGGGUAACACGUGGGAACGUGCCUUUAGGUUCGGAAUAGCUCCUGGAAACGGGUGGUAAUGCCGAAUGUGCCCUUCGGGGGAAAGAUUUAUCGCCUUUAGAGCGGCCCGCGUCUGAUUAGCUAGUUGGUGAGGUAAAGGCUCACCAAGGCGACGAUCAGUAGCUGGUCUGAGAGGAUGACCAGCCACAUUGGGACUGAGACACGGCCCAAACUCCUACGGGAGGCAGCAGUGGGGAAUCUUGCGCAAUGGGCGAAAGCCUGACGCAGCCAUGCCGCGUGAAUGAUGAAGGUCUUAGGAUUGUAAAAUUCUUUCACCGGGGACGAUAAUGACGGUACCCGGAGAAGAAGCCCCGGCUAACUUCGUGCCAGCAGCCGCCGUAA